This 544-nucleotide ribosomal RNA is filed under the name Madagascaria erythrocladioides. RNAcentral's name for it is "partial Bacterial large subunit ribosomal RNA". It matches the Rfam family "Bacterial large subunit ribosomal RNA", at positions 1399 to 1961 of the family's 2925-position model. The record is from RNAcentral. Lineage: Eukaryota; Rhodophyta; Compsopogonophyceae; Erythropeltidales; Erythrotrichiaceae.
AGGCCGAAAGGCGUAGUCGAUGGACAACAGGUUAAUAUUCCUGUACCGUUUGUUGUUGGUACCGAAGGACGGAGAAGGCUAAACUAGCCGGAUGUUGGUUACCGGUUUAAGCGUUAAAGGUGAUGAGAAGUGGUGAAAACACUUUGAGCUAAGGCGCGAGUACAAAAUACUACGGUAUUGAAGUAGUUGAUGUCAUACUUCCAAGAAAAGUUCGAAAUACCAUAAACAACAAAUGCCUGUACCUUAAACCGACACAGGUAGGUAAGUAGAGUAUACUAAGGGGCGCGAGAUAACUCUCUCUAAGGAACUCGGCAAAAUAGCCCCGUAACUUCGGAAGAAGGGGUGCCCUGCAAAGGGCUGCAAUAACCAGACCCAAGCGACUGUUUACCAAAAACACAGGUCUCCGCGAAGUCGCAAGACAAUGUAUGGGGGCUGACGCCUGCCCAGUGCCGGAAGGUUAAAGAAAUUGGUUAGCUCUAGGGCGAAGCUGGUGACUGAAGCCCCGGUGAACGGCGGCCGUAACUAUAACGGUCCUAAGGUAGCG